AUCCAACUGACGAAUCCCAAACGGGACGAAAUUUGCGUCCUGGAU
Non-coding RNA from Schistosoma haematobium, 45 nucleotides. Lineage: Eukaryota; Metazoa; Platyhelminthes; Trematoda; Strigeidida; Schistosomatidae. The record is from Rfam.